RNAcentral lists this long non-coding RNA (424 nucleotides) under Phoenix dactylifera (date palm). Its description in RNAcentral is "long non-coding RNA (PDAC_LNC001874)". The record is from RNAcentral. Lineage: Eukaryota; Viridiplantae; Streptophyta; Magnoliopsida; Arecales; Arecaceae.
ACACGGAAGCGGUCUACUCUUCUCCGCCGCCGCAGCUCAAGAUCUAGGGCACGGGGCACCUGGGCACGAUCGCACGGGAUCGAAAAAGAGAGGAAGGCGCUCAAGAUCCAGGGCACCUGGGCUGCUGGGCAGUGGGCACGGCCGCACGGGAUCGAAAAGGAGAGGAAGGCUGGAAGGAGAUCGAGAUCUAGGGCACGGCCGUCGGCCACACGGAAAUACGGGAUCGAAAAGAGAGGAAGGCCGAAGGGAUUUAGGGAUUUAGCUUUAAGCCUUUAUAUAGUAACGGGUCGGGUCGGGUCCCGGAUCAAGAUUGGGUGGACCCGACCCGACCCGAAAAAUAGAUCGGGUCUAAAUUUAGGACCCGACCCGGCUCCGCGGGUCCUAAAAUUCGGGUCGGGUCGGGUCUAAAGCGGGUCGGGUCGGG